GGCUCGGUAGCCUAGUUGGUAAAGCGCUCGUCUAGCAUACAAGAGUCCUGGGUUCAAAUCUCAGCCGAGCAC
Molecule: transfer RNA, 72 nt
Filed under: Aedes aegypti (yellow fever mosquito)
Lineage: Eukaryota; Metazoa; Arthropoda; Insecta; Diptera; Culicidae
Rfam family: tRNA
About the family: Transfer RNA (tRNA) molecules are approximately 80 nucleotides in length. Their secondary structure includes four short double-helical elements and three loops (D, anti-codon, and T loops). Further hydrogen bonds mediate the characteristic L-shaped molecular structure. tRNAs have two regions of fundamental functional importance: the anti-codon, which is responsible for specific mRNA codon recognition, and the 3' end, to which the tRNAs corresponding amino acid is attached (by aminoacyl-tRNA synthetases). tRNAs cope with the degeneracy of the genetic code in two manners: having more than one tRNA (with a specific anti-codon) for a particular amino acid; and 'wobble' base-pairing, i.e. permitting non-standard base-pairing at the 3rd anti-codon position.
Source: Rfam by way of RNAcentral